UACGUAGGGUGCAAGCGUUGUCCGGAAUUAUUGGGCGUAAAGAGCGUGUAGGCGGCCCGAUUAGUCUGCUGUGAAAGUCCAGGGCUCAACCCUGGAAUGCCGGUGGAUACUGUCGGGCUAGAGUCCGGAAGGGGCGAGUGGAAUUCCUGGUGUAGCGGUGAAAUGCGCAGAUAUCAGGAGGAACACCAAUGGCGAAAGCGACUUUCUGGGACGUUCCUGACGCUGAGGUUCGAAAGCUCGGGGAGCAAACAGG
RNAcentral lists this ribosomal RNA (253 nucleotides) under uncultured bacterium. RNAcentral describes it as "partial 16S ribosomal RNA". It matches the Rfam family "Bacterial small subunit ribosomal RNA", at positions 524 to 776 of the family's 1533-position model. The record is from RNAcentral.